GUAGGCUUGGAGCAGACUGAGCAAUUCUGAUUGAAUUAGUUAGAAGAAUCAGCCAAUACCAGAGGCUGAAUUCUGGAGGGCUUCCUGUUUCUAACAAGGUCGUUAUUUCCACACAGGGCAUCUCCAUUGUUACACAGCUGCAUAGAUAUUCCAUGACACUCUGUACCUAAAACAUAGAUAUACAACUUUGAUGGACCAACAUUCCUGUUUUAACCUAACUUUAAAUACCAAAAUGCUUCAGAAUCAGUAAUAGCCCCCAUGCUGUAAGAAGUCCAAGCCGCAUACAAAAGCAAUAUGAAAGAAAAUGAAGCACUCCCGUGAACACCCCCAGAGCAGCUCCCAGUCAGGAAUCAGCAUCAACUGCCAAGCCAUGUGAAUGUGCAAUUUCAGAAAUUCAGCCUGAGGCUCUAGAUGAUGGCAACCGCAUGAAACCUCAUGUAGAGUGGAAGAACUGCUCAGUUGAGUCCAG
Molecule: long non-coding RNA, 469 nt
Organism: Symphalangus syndactylus (siamang)
Lineage: Eukaryota; Metazoa; Chordata; Mammalia; Primates; Hylobatidae
Source: RefSeq, a predicted model, not a curated record